RNAcentral lists this ribosomal RNA (266 nucleotides) under uncultured bacterium. Its description in RNAcentral is "partial 16S ribosomal RNA". It matches the Rfam family "Bacterial small subunit ribosomal RNA", at positions 793 to 1055 of the family's 1533-position model. The record is from RNAcentral.
GUCCUAGCCCUAAACGAUGAUCGCUUGGUGUAGCAGGUACCCAAUCCUGCUGUGCCGUAGCUAACGCGUUAAGCGAUACGCCUGGGGAGUACGGUAGCAAGGCUGAAACUCAAAGGAAUUGACGGGGGCCCCGCACAAGCGGUGGAGCAUGUGGUUCAAUUCGACGCAACGCGAAGAACCUUACCUGGGCUCGAAGCGCAGUGGACUGCGGUAGAAAUACCGCUUUCUCGCAAGAGACUGCUGCGUAGGUGCUGCAUGGCUGUCGU